CAUAUACUGUCUCAGAAAAGUGUUUUUUUUUUUUAUCCAUUCCUUAACAAUGAAAGCUUCCGAGACUGCUUCCUCCAUCCAUUACCAUAGUAACACAUGGUUCCUGGCCCAUUCCCAAUGGCCUUUUUUGGCCUGUCACCAUAGCUACACAUAGAGUUUGCAUACUCAGUCUCCAUUUGUCAAUGAUAUAAUAAUGGGCCAUUGCUUUCUCAUGGCACUGAAGCAAAUGAAUCUGGAGUCACCAAACACAGAACCUAGCUCAGCGGGAGUAAUGUGAUAGCAAUGAAGAAGACAGAAUGAAAGUUAUUAAAGGGAAGACUUAAAAAGUCUUGAGACAGGAAGUCUGGAAGAAUGGCAGCCCUACUGAAAGAAAUAGAUCUCGAUGAAGAAGUUCAGGACCAAUGUGAUAAAACAAUGACAUGCCCUGGAAGUAGCUCUGCAAAUAUUUCUACAAAUUCCCAAGAAUGGUUCCGAGUAGGAUUGAGCCAUUCUGAAGUUGACCAAGAUAACGCCAAUGCUGUUUCCUGUUAGUCAUUUUAUGAGUAGAACAUCCGAACUCCUACAUUCCAGUAUUCUAAGCUGAAGACAAAUAAAUCUUGUUGCUCUCUGGUUUUAAGGGGUGAUAAAGUUGUUUAACUUUUGCAUGAAAGUGAUUUUUAAGUAAUUGUUAAAUCUGGAAAACUCAUUUACUUUCAAUGCCAAAUACAUUUGGGAGACCAAGUGAAACAGUUCAGAGUUCUUGAUUUGCUAAGGCAUCAGUGUGAUGUGGCAAAAAGUCAGUAGUCAGAGUGAGAAGAGCUGGGUUCAAGUUCUGACAUGUAAAAUACAGUGAAUGAUAGUCAUAUGAUAUACUGUAUACUGUAUAUGUAUGUAUACAUGCCCACACAUAAUCC
Molecule: long non-coding RNA, 893 nt
Organism: Monodelphis domestica (gray short-tailed opossum)
Lineage: Eukaryota; Metazoa; Chordata; Mammalia; Didelphimorphia; Didelphidae
Source: RefSeq, a predicted model, not a curated record